Osmia lignaria (orchard mason bee) is the source of this 984-nucleotide non-coding RNA. The record is from RefSeq and is a predicted model, not a curated record. Lineage: Eukaryota; Metazoa; Arthropoda; Insecta; Hymenoptera; Megachilidae.
GUAUUUCUGUAUACAUCGGCCCUGAAAUAUGAGUAUUGAAACGGUACUCUGAGGAUCUUGACCCUAUCCUUCGCGUAUGAUACCAAGGAAGAAACGUAUAAUAAAAUGUGUAUGCUGAAUUUUUUUGAUGACAGAAAGUUACGUAGAGCGCGGAUAUUAAUUUUCCUGGCAAUCGUUGGGGAAGAUUUCGAAGAAGAAUAGCAGCCUAGAAGCUGAAUUACAACGGAGUUCCAGAGGAUACGAAAUGCAUUAUUUCCAAGGUUGGAAUAUCCAUCGCAAUAAAUAAUUCAGACGAAACGGGAGCUGCGGCCAACAGAACGGCAAAGGCAUGAAAAUCUCGAGGGGCAAAAGGAAGAGGAAGCUUCCAGCGACAUUUUCCUCCGUUUCCCUACCCUUUCUCGCUUUUCACCUCGAAGGGCCGGCUUGGUAAAGAGGCGAGACCUGUAACAAGCACAAAACAGCCGGAACGGGCCGAGUGGGUCUCCGGGAGCAUUCGUUCAAAAGGAAGCACAUUUAUUUCAGCAACGGUGCCUGCAUCUUGUAAUAGGCUAGCCUAUUGUGCCUCGCCUGAAUAAUGCAGCCAGCCUUCCCUAUAGUUACAACGUGAUUGGGAAACGUGCCGUGGAAGUACUCUUAAGGGAGCAACGUGUUUUAAGACUUAAUUGCGCGCACGUCCUAUCCCCUUCCGAACUUCGCUACGAUGUAAUCUAAAUUGAACAAGGUCUCGACGGAUCGAUAAGACAUUGUCUUUGCAAGAAAGCAAGGAGGCGAAACACGAACGAGUGGAAAACUGAAAUUAUCUUAACAAGUGCUAUCAAGAUUCGAUGGGGAGGAUUUAUCUAAAUUGUACUACUUAAGACAUUUUAUUAUUUGGCACACCAAUUUGUUCGUAAAUUAGUAUUGGAUUUUGUAACAGCGUGUAAUUUUUGAAAAAUAAUAUAUUUCUGAGAAAAUCAUAUCCUGGAAUCCGGAGAGGAAGAUAGA